This 433-nucleotide ribosomal RNA is filed under the name uncultured bacterium. Its description in RNAcentral is "bacterial SSU rRNA". It matches the Rfam family "Bacterial small subunit ribosomal RNA", at positions 29 to 510 of the family's 1533-position model. The record is from RNAcentral.
AACGAACGCUGGCGGCAGGCCUAACACAUGCAAGUCGAACGCUCCAGCAAUGGAGAGUGGCAGACGGGUGAGUAACGCGUGAGAACCUUCCCUAUGGUUCGGAAUAGCUCAGGGAAACUUGAGGUAAUACCGGAUAAGCCCUUCGGGGAAAGAUUUAUCGCCAUUGGAUGGGCCCGCGUAGGAUUAGCUAGUUGGUGAGGUAACGGCUCACCAAGGCGACGAUCCUUAGCUGGCUGAGAGGAUGAUCAGCCACACUGGGACUGAGACACGGCCCAGACUCCUACGGGAGGCAGCAGUGGGGAAUAUUGGACAAUGGGCGCAAGCCUGAUCCAGCCAUGCCGCGUGAGUGACGAAGGCCUUAGGGUUGUAAGACUCUUUUGGCGGGGAAGAUAAUGACGGUACCGCAGAAUAAGCUCCGGCUAACUUCGUGCCA